AUAAAAAAACUAACUUGUAAAACAACAAACAUUUUAGUAAUAAAAAAACAAACUUGUAAAACAACAAACAUUUUAGUAAUAAUUUAAUCACGGUUCUUAAUCCGCUGCGGAAUAUCCCUUUCUAGAGCCUUUAUUUGAUUGUUGAACUAAUUUAAUGAUGAUUAAAAAAAGUUAAAUUAGGAGAGAGAGAAACCAACACGAGCCUGGCUUACUUUCAACGAGAAGUGCACAUGUGUCCUGAGGAGAGAGAGAGAGAGAAACCAUCCAAAUGCAUCCAAUUAGGAGCUGGCUAAGCUGGAUCCGUAAGUUACAGAUUCUGUAACUUAAGCCAGCUCCAUAAGAAAAAAACAACACGAGCCUGGCUUACUUUCCUGCAUGGAAAUUGAAUCGAGCCAACCAAGCCAGCAGCAGUCCCGAAGAUUCCGAAUCUCAAGAUACCCGUUAAUAUCUUUUUAAUAAAUGUUUAACAGACGGAAGAAAUUGUAGAAGCACCGUUUACACAUAUGAUACAACUAUAAAUUCUUGUAUAAAUUUAUUUUGUACAAAUUGAUAUGGCAUGAUAAGAUUAGUUAAAUUAAAUAUCACUUGACCCACAUAAUUUGUUUUUAUUAAUUUAUAUUUUUAUUCAACCAAUAAAUUAAUGUCACGUCAGUUUGUACAAAAUAAAUUUAUACAAGAGUUUGUGGCUGUAUCAUUACUCUUUAUAAUAUGUGUAAACGGUGGUCCAAAAUUCGUAACGAGACACGUGUCACGCGAGGUCCAUCUAUGGUUUUCUGGAUACCGCACCCCAUUGGGCAUUGUCAGUUAAUAAAAUGAAAUUAGUGAAAAUAAUAAUCACGUCACUCAUAUUCACCAAAAAAUAAAUUGAUAUCUAAAUAAAAUAAAAUUCCAAAAUAUGUAACGUUCGAAAAGUGCUUAACUUCAAAUAUUUGAAGUAUGCAUAACAAAAUAGGUUACACACGUUUUUGCGUAAUUAUCAAAGAUUGUAUUAUGAUUUUGAAAGAGAAGGUUUAUAAUACAGUCGUAAGCAUCACAAUAUGAUAAUGGAGUCAAAUAAUUUUUAGAGAAAAAGAGUUAUGAUUAUAAAUUAGUCACUGUCAGAUUUUAUAGUACGAUCACAGUCUCGUGUUAUCGCAACAAAAUUAUAGCUUGACCCGUAAUCUGUAACUGUAGAAAGCCAAUCUUUUCUUUACCCCUCUCAUCGUCAUUUGAUCUCCCAGCAUCAGCAAAACCCUCAUUUAAAAAAAAAGAAAAUCACCAUUGGGUCCAUUUUUGGACAAAAUAUUCUAUCAUUUUUCGCCCCUCUCAGCACAAAAGUUCUAUCUUUUUUACUGGGUUUGCAAAAUCGUACGGCCUUUUUAAAUAUUUUUCAGCACAUAGUUCUAUAUACGGUGCUUCUGCGUGUUCUCUUCAACGAAUUAGUUUUAUAUUCACGAUUAAACGAAAUAGGUGGCCUUUUUUACUAUUCUUGCAAGUAAUUAACCAGGGAGGAGUUGUUUUUUUUUUAAAAAAAAAAAAAUUUGUUUCACGUUUUAUUAGUCUUUUGGUUUCAUAUUUUGAAGUACUUUUAAUAGUAAACGUUAUGUGAAGGUUUGCAUAAUCUUUGUUGAUUUUUGCGUUCGUUCAGUGAUUAAAUUUGCUAAUAUUUUUUUCCCCUCCACCUACCAUUCUCUGCGUGUGAUUGACUAGUGGGUCUGUUUUCUUUGGUUUUAUUGGUGUAAAUAUAUCUUAAUUUUAGCAUUUUACAGUUGAUAAUUUAUAAAUUGUUUUGGACUUUGGUGGCAUUUAGCCACUCUGUUUCGACCCCAGAAUCUUGAUUCUGGGAGCUUUUGUUUGGGGUGUUUGUACUUGUGGGUUUCUGACUUUUUGAUGAAGGGUUCUGGAGCUCUUUGGUGAAUGUUAAUAUUCGGGGGUUUUUGUUGAAGGGUUUUAGGGAUAGUUUGAUUUGGAGUCUUUGGGAAAAUGGGGAAUUGUUUGCUGGUGGGUUUACUUGUUGCUGUUGUUGUCUCUCAUUUUGAGUUUUUGAAUUUUGGUGAUUCUGUUGUUAUAAGGUUUUUGAGUUGUUGGUCUGGUUAGCUGCAAUUGCUGUUCAAUUCAGAAAUUUGAGCAGUGAGAACUUAGAUUAGGUUGAGUUGUAGUGGCGAUUUUAGUGGUGAUUUUUUUUGUUAAAGCUACGCAUUUGAUAUAAUGAGGAGUAAUGGGUUUGAUCAUCCACUAAAAGAUGUAGACAAGGAGGAAGGUGUUAGAGGGAGCAAGACACUGAACAAGGACUUGGGGCAGACUGAUGGUAUUGGUGAACCAAUGAACAAGGAAUAUAUGUCUUCAGAAAAAGAAUACAAUGCACGCGCUUUUCAGAGUUUAGAAAAACAGAAGACAAAUUCAUUGGAGCAGUCACCAGUUGUGGGGAUUUCUCUGUCUAAAAAGGAGGAUGUUCAUUCUUCACCUCGAGCAAGUUAGUAUCAGAAAAAAAUCUUGUUUGUAUUUAUGCAUUUAGAGCUUAUAAUUGACAUUGUUAAAUCUUCUAGGUGAAACUUUUACAGUGGUUAAUUUCAUUGGAUGCUCAUUGCCAACAAUUUAAUUUAUUACUGAAUUAUAGAACUUUAGAGUGUAAUCUGGGCUGCGCAUCUUGAUUCUGUAGUUUUGUGAUACGCAGCUGAACAAUUACUUAGUUGUUUAUUCGCAUCUUUUGGUAGAGAGUAUAAGUUUAUGAAACAAUACUUUGUUUUUUGAGUAUAAAAACUUAAUGGCCAAACUUCAGAACUAGAUAAAUGAUGAAUGUUAUCACUUUCUUCAUCUACAACCUUUAUUAAGAUGUUUACUGACGCCAUAUUAUCGGCUGUUUGAAGGUUUGGAUCAUUGCAUUACUGCACCUAUUACACGUAGAGAUUCACUUACUGAUAUGAAUGAGUUCAGAUACUCAAGGUCCAUGACAGAGAAGAAGUCGAUUCCGAGGCAUGACCUGAAAUUGGAUAGACUGUCAGAGCGUGAAAAGGUAUAUAACAAAAAUCUCAUGCAUGUGACGAGUUUUUCUGCUCCUGCCUACUCAAGAGCAUGAAAAGGUAGAUAACAGAUUCACUCGCACAUGACUGCAAGUUUAAAUGCUAUUGCUUGCUUGUAUAUGUUCAAGUUUAUCAUGAUGCAACAGUUGCCAAUGUGUUUCCUAGAUGUUGCAAUACAUAUCUGGCUUAUUUCUCUAACUGCAUACAUAGCACACUGAAUGCGCUUCCCCCUGAUUUCUUUUGAGGGAAAAUAAUAGCUCUUAUAUUUGAUCAUCCUAUGUCAAUUUAAUCCCUAAUGUUGAGAAAGAAUAUUGAAAGUAUUGUUUUAUGGACAUCAUUAUUUUGUAAUUUAACAAUUGUGGAACUUGUUGUCUGGUUCUUUCUCUUGUAAUGAAGUGGUUAACUAGUUCUUUCACAUUUUGGGACAAUCUGUUAUGGUUUUUGGUUAAACAAUCAUUCUUUUACGUUCUCGAUUAUGGAAGGCGUAACGAAUGCUUGUCUUUUUUUAUCUUGCCCUCAAUGUGUCUGUAUUUGUUUCCAAAAUUAUCUUUCUUCUAUGAUACUUGAUUUCUACAAAUCUUUUCCCCUCAGAAAAAGCUGAUUGUGGAACUAGUCAGGAUUCAAAAUGACGGGACUGUAGAAGUGGAUUUAGAUAAAAGUGCACCUGUAGCUUCAGAGUUUUUGGAAUUUCAACCUGUCGAAGGGCCACCUAUCAUUUUGGAUGACACCAGUUUUUCUGAUUCCAAGAAAUCGAUCCCAAGAUUGAAUAUUGCCAUACUUGUGGUUGGAACAAGAGGAGAUGUACAGCCAUUUCUGGCUAUGGCCAAGAAACUUCAGGCAUGCUUGACAUGAUUCAUUUUUCUUCCAGUUCAUGUUUGUUAAUAUUUGUGCUGUCACCACAAGUUUUUAUUUUCAAUGUAAUCUUAUUGCAUUAUGUAAGAGGUUAGGAUCAGCUUCUUUUGAGAUUUUAUUCUAUGCAUAAACCCUUUUGAAGGUUUCAUAUCGAGGCUUCUACAUGAUUUGAAUUAUUGAUCACUGUGUGUGAGUUAUGUCUACAUAUAUGUGGUUCCAAUGACGUUGUAUCUUAAUUGAUCUUCCAGCAUUUAAUUUGUGGUAGAAAAGCCUAGAUAAUUACAUAUUUUCUGUAAUAGUAAUCUAAUUAUUUGUAGUAAAAAAAUGUGUUUGGCCUUUUUCUGCAGGAGUUUGGUCAUCGUGUUAGGUUGGCAACCCAUGCUAACUUCAGGACUUUUGUAAGGUCAGCCGGGGUAGACUUCUUUCCUUUGGGCGGUGAUCCUCGGGUUUUGGCAGGAUGUAAGAGGACCCUUACUUGAAAUUUUUUGUUUUAAUCUUUAACUGCAAUAUACUUUCUUUUUUUUUCGGUGGUUAUUUUGUUAUAGGAUCCAUGAUUUAUUGUUCUUUGUUAGGUAACUCCUUUGUGUUCUUUUCUUUUAGAUAUGGCACGGAAUAAAGGUCUGAUCCCUUCUGGACCGGGAGAAAUAUCGAUACAAAGAAAGCAGAUAAAGGCCAUUAUAGAAUCUCUUCUUCCAGCAUGCACAGAUCCGGAUAUAGAAACUGGUGUACCUUUUAGAUCUCAGGCAAUUAUUGCAAAUCCUCCUGCUUAUGGUGAGUCCAUGGGAAUGGAAUGCUGUAUUUUGCCUUAGUUGUAUAGUUAAAUGUUUACAAGAAAAUUUGUAAUUGUAUUUAUACAUAAGAAAUUUAAGUCCAUCCAUGGGGCAGUUGAACAUGAAUUUUACAUGAGGUCUACUUAAGCUGGAAGUUUGGGCAUGUAUGUUUCUCUAAUCCAUCUGAGUCCACUUUGAUAAUUGAGUCCUUGCUCAUCCCUCAUUGGUGCACAUAAUUUUGGAUCUUGAUGACAGUUGCUCAAGUGCAAAUAUUUGAUAGAAUAUUUAUUUUAAGACCUUUAAUUUGCUAUUUAAGCGUGAAUGGAAUUGAAAACAGGAAAAAGAACUGAUUCUAUAUCCAUAUGUUUUUUCAUGGUGAGGUAUCUCUUUAACCGAGCAUGAAAAUGAUAUUUGCUUGUUUCUGAGAGGGAACAAUUAUGCAAUAAGGAUAUGGAGCCAAAAGAGGAAGAACAAUUAUGAAGAUGAGGGCUGCAAAUGAAAUGCAUCUUAAAAUCAUUAGAUAAUCCCCAGUUGUUGACUAGUUAAUAAAUUACUUUCAGUUGUCUUUAUGCAGCUCGAAGUCAUAUAUGAUUUCAUCAGAAUUUUGUCAUUCAUGAUAACAUUUAUGAACUUACACUGCAAUUUUGAUUUUUCAUCUCAUUGAUCUCAUUCUAUUUUAAUUAUUGAUAUAUUUUUUUGAAUGGUGUAACAUUAAAUUUUGACAUCUUCUUUGGAUUGCAGGGCAUGCCCAUGUUGCUGAAGCUCUUGGUGUACCCAUUCACAUUUUCUUUACGAUGCCAUGGACGUGAGUUUUGACUAUCCUUGCACGUCAAUAUGUGUUUUAUAUUGCUUUUGUAACCCUAGUAUGAGGCCAUAAAUGUCGAACAUUUUUAAACUUGAAUACAAUUUCAUUGAUAAAAUAAUAGAACUCAAAAUACUAUUGUUGUUCCCUGACCUAUUAGCUUAAGUUUUUGGGUUGAUUGCUUUUUCAAUCAGUUUUUGUGUUGGCCUGUUAUAGCUUAAAAUGUACCAUUGUGAUUUUAUCUGUUAACAUAAGCUUUUGAGUAUGAUGAUAACUUAAUAAGUACACUUGAAAAACAAUGAAAUAGUUUAAUUCUUUCCAGUGUUAAACUCUGUGACAUUGUCUGAUACUGUUUUUACUAGGUUGAAAUUAUUCAAGCAUAACAUCACUUCUUUCCUUGAAUUAUAUUUGGAGAGUGUAUUUGCAAAUUUUUCCUUUCAAGUAACUUAAAUUGGUCUUCCAUGUCAAGAACAAUGAAUUGGGUACAUGUCACAUGUGGUACCUUGACUGAAAAGAAUUCAAACUCUUGGGGAAAGGAGGAUUUGCUGAAAAAUAUGGCACGCAUAAAUCCUUUGUGCAAACAUGAUUACAAAAACGUUGACAUUGUUAAAGAACAGGGUUGCUGCAUUCUGGAUUGUCAUUUUCUGACUGCCAUGAAACUAAAAAUGCAGCAGGGCAAUUUUAAAUGGUAAAAUGGGGAGAUAUAGAACAAGAGCUAGUAUGAAUCCAAAUACGCAUGAGAUAAGUCAUGGACAACUGCAUGUUAUUGUCAAAAGCUGGUUAAUAUCAAGUAAAACUUUGUUUGAGACUUCCUACUUACUUCUAUUCUCAAUAGACAGGCCAACUUAUGAAUUUCCUCAUCCGCUGGCACGUGUACCCCAAAGUGCUGGAUAUUGGGUAUGUUCUUGACUGUGGCCAGUCCACCUUUUUUGCUCUCGCCUUUUUCAAUGUUGGUUUUUCCACUUUGUUGGUCAUGCCUGCUUACUUGCAUUGACAAAUCUGCCUUUACUGUCUCAUACUUGCUGAAUCCAGCUUUCUUAUAUAAUUGUGGAUUUGCUGAUAUGGUGGGGCAUUAGGAGCUAUAUUAAUGACUUCAGGAAAAGGAAGUUGAAGCUUCCCCCUAUUGCAUACUUCAGUACAUACCACGGAUCUAUAUCUCAUUUGCCAACAGCCUAUAUGUGGAGUCCCCAUCUUGUGCCAAAGCCAAGUGGUGGGUUUAUUACUGACAAUGGAAAUAUUUGCUCUUUCUAUAGGAUUGACUUCGUUCGCCUAUUGCAGAUUGGGGCUCUUUAGUUGAUGUUGUUGGAUAUUGCUUAUUAAACCUUGGGUCGAAGUAUCAACCACAAGAAAACUUUGUUCAGUGGAUUCAAAGAGGACCCGAACCUAUUUAUAUAGGGUUUGGUAGCAUGGUAUGUGAUCUCACUAAAGCUUAUUGAAAUGAUUUAUAGUUCAAAUUUUCUUUGUUAUGUUUUCUUAUAGUUCCUUGUCAUUGUUGGAGGCCAUCAGGCCAAUAAACUGCAUUUUGAUGAUUUAGUGGGAGGGUUCCACAUUCCAGUCAGAGUAAUUUGACACUAUAGACCUUUUUAUGAGAAGGAAAUAAUGAAAAUUGGAACCUUCUCUGUUCUUCUGAAUUUUGAACUCUUUUGCCAGUGAAGAUUGCUGCAAAAUUCUUAGACACUACACAAAAACAGAAGUCAAGAACACUAGUCUUGGAAAUUCAUCAGAAUCAUAAAGGAGUAAUUCUGAUUCCCCUUUUUGGGCCUCCGACCCCCUGUUAAAAUAAUUUCUAAUUUUCCCAUUGCUGAUGGUGUCCUAUGUUUUCUUUAAUAAUACUCUACAUGUAAUUGACUUUUGUGCAAAUACUUUAGCAAUAUUAUUGGAUUUUUAUUUUUUUUCCUUUCCCCCUGUUUCUUUUCGUGAAUGUUAGUAUUGAGAAUGCAAUUGUUACUUGUUAAGCCUCUUGAAGAUCCCAAGAAAACAACAGAGAUUAUAUUGGAGGCACUGCAGGAUACCGGACAAAGAGGAGUUAUUGAUCGAGGUUGGGGAGAUCUUGGAAAGAGUAUGUUGUUUCCUUUAUGUUUGCUGCUUUCUGGUUAGCUGGUUGAUGCUCAAAGAUUUUGCCGCAUGGCUAGGGAAUAAGUUACAAAUUAUAGUUUCUGGGUUGAUGUUUACCAAAUUUUGCUUCAUGCCUACCAGUGUACUAUAGAUGUCAUAAAGGCUGCAAUUGCACUUAAAUAAGGAACAUUAACUGAAGAUUUUUUCAUUAUGAUUUAUCUUUUUAUUUUAGAAGCAUUUACCUUGGUUGAUUGGUGCUUUUCAUCAACUCAGGCGAUACUUCUAUCUUGCAAUUGAUUACAUUUUAGGAAAUCAUUCAUUUUCAAACUAUUUGGAUCAAAUAUUCAGCGGCAAGGAUCAAAUUACAAAUAUUUGGAAAUCAUGAAUUUAUUACCAAGUUUUUCCAUGUAUAUUUCCUAAUUUUCCAAAUUUAUUUUUGGCCAUUAGUGUGCUAAAUGAUCAUUCUGAAAAUAAUAAUUUUAGGUUUUUCUAAUUUUCAAAUAUUAUUAUAACGGGUUCUUUGUGUUGUAUGAUGUGUUUGAUUUGUGUGUUUUCCAAUAAAUAAAUAGUGUAGGUGUCUAUUGCUAGUUUUGAAUAUUUUCACCAAUGAGUUAUGCAUUUCCCAACUUUUGCUUCUUAAUGCUUGUACUGUCAAAUGAUGAUAUUCUCAAGGGCCAGCUCCCAGAAAUAUUGAAACUUUGUAAAGUAUCUCAUAUAUGUAUUUAAAAUGACAUUAUUAUUAUUUUUUCCUAUUUACAAGAAAUAGACCUGUGGAACAUCUCUGACAAAUCAUUUUGCAUUCUACAGUUACAGAAGUUCCUGAUAAUAUAUUCCUUCUAGAGGAUUGCCCUCAUGAUUGGUUGUUUCCUCAAUGCUCUGCUGUGGUGAGUUUUCUUUUAUCCUUCCUAAAGUGAAUUUCUUUAUGUGGAUAUAUGUGGUUAUCGCUACUUCAGUGUGUAGCAUAAUUAAGGAAUGUAUGUUCAGAAAACAUAGCUGAUUGCAGCACCCAAAUUAGAGGUAAGAGGAAGAAUUUUGUGGUAGUGAAUAGAGAUGUGUUCUUAGUUUUGAAUAUGGGUGGACUUAUAACCAUCUAAUAUUGACUAAAUAACAUAAGAAUUUUAUGGCAGAUUAUAAAGAUUUUAAAUAAAAAAUUAUACCUCUAAAGAUAAAACCAAAAAAUGCUUCAUGUUGCUGUUGAAAAUUAGUUGUUGAAUAUGACAAACUUGAAAGAUAAAAUGAAUAUCAAGUUGUAAAGUUGUUUAUUUUUUUCCUCUACCGCACUAAUAAAAAACUUCUAAGAGCGUAAAACUUAUCAAGCUAUUUGGUAUGAGUUACAAGGCUCCAAUCUUUGCAAAAGGCACAAACUAUAUAUAUAUGCUGGAGUGAGACUAGAAAAAACAGUGUGUAAGGCAUGCCUCGCUCUGAUCCUCCAUGCCUUACUUCGCCAUGGAUGAUGUGAAAUUUUUAAUAGUGCAUUCUUCUUUGAGUGUGAUGCAAUUAUGUUUGUGAAAACUCAAUUAACUUGAAGCCUUAUGCCCUGGAUGUGCAGGUUCAUCAUGGAGGAGCUGGAACUACAGCUACAGGGCUAAAAGCUGGGGUAAUAUUCUGUAUUUUUUUUUCAUUAUUCUUCUGUACUGCAUUCUGAAAUAGAUCUUUUCAGAUGAGUCCAUAUAGUUAGAUCUUACGUUACGAAAGACACUUGGUCAUAUGUCUGACUGUUUGUAAUAGAAAUUAUUCAACUGGCUGAUCUUGUCUAACAUCAAAUUUAUUAAUUAGUGUCCAACAACCGUUGUUCCUUUCUUCGGAGACCAGUUCUUUUGGGGCGACAGAGUGCAGCAGAAAGGGCUGGGACCUGCACCAAUACCAAUAUCUCAGCUUACUGUUGAAAACCUUUCAAAUGCUGUAAGAUUUAUGCUGCAGCCAGAGGUAAUUUUGGAGUUGGCAUUCCUUUUUCAGAAUCUGAAAAGUGACACCCACCAGAGACUUCAGAGAUUUUGGUUCUUAACUGGACUUUGGCUCUCUCAGGUGAAAUCCCGAGCAAUGGAGUUAGCGAAGUCGAUAGAGAACGAAGAUGGUGUUGCCGCUGCAGUUGAUGCAUUUCAUCGGCAUUUACCUGAUGAGAUACCAAUGCCUUCUGCGUUACCAGAAAAAGACGACGGGCCUGACCCUUUGCAGUGGUUUUUCAUUCAAAUUGGAAAUUGGUGCUGUCAGCGUUGUGGUGGUGUGUAAACUUCAUAGGUCAACCUAGUGUUUUAUAGGUACUGUUUUCCCUUUCCAAUUUUCUUUCUUUAUAUUUGUUCGUAUCAUUUUAGUUGAGCAAUCCAUUCUUUCAUUUGUGGCUUUUAUGUACCUGUUUGAUUGAUAGGAAUAGAAAAAGAAACAUACUGGUGUAGAUUUCUCAUUACAUUUGCGGUAGUAUCAUUUUUCUUGCAGUAGUAUCAUGUUUCUCCUGCCUGUGUAUAAUGACAGAUCAUUUUAUUAUAAGUAUUAUCGACUUAUUAUAAGUAUUAUCGACUUAAGCUUGAUUAUCAAAUCUAUUUAUGUGCUGUCUAGCUUAUUUUGUUCUGAUUGAACAAAAUAUCAUGCCCAUAAAUGUGCGCAGGAUUCGAAUCUCACAAUUCCUACUUAUAACCAAAUAAUUAUCCAGUUUAAUGAUAAGGAUAUUAUCCUAUAACUACGUUUUUUUUUUUUUUUUUUUUUAUGUAUAAUUUUGUCACCAAAGUUUUCUGGCAAUUGCCUUUUUCCAUUUCAUGUUUCAGUUUUUAUCUGUUUAUCAUCAAACCAUUAACUCCAUUAAGAAAUUGCUUCUAAUAGGGGUAUUUUAGAAAUUGUAAUAUUUUUAGUAUUUUAAUAGUUUUAUGGUGUACAAUAUUUGUAAUUUUAUCAAUUGAUUAUUUUAUAUAUAUAAAAUAAUCAAUUGACAAAAACAUUAUCUCUUUGUAUAUAAUUAAUUUUAUAUUUUUUUAUUAUUCGAGGAUUAAAUUGUACUUACACAAUUUAGGAGUAAAAUAGUAAAAUAGACUUUUACUACAACUACUACUAAAAUUAUGUUAUUUUUAACAAUUUGGUAGAAAAAUGAUAAAAAUUAAAACAAAAAGUGGGAAAAAUACAGUUGUCGUAAAAUUUUGGUGAGAAAGUGAAAUGUUAGAAAAUAUUUAAGUGGUAAAAUAAUAGUAUUGAUGUUAAUAGAAACAAUUAAAAAUAAAAAAUAAAACGAGCAUGAAAUUCAAUCAUACAGCAAUGUAUCUAUAGUAUAUUAGACAGCAACUAUACGAGUGUACAUAGUAGAAAGUUCCUCAUAUAAUAUAAUGUGUACGGCUAACUUGCUACUAAAAUAGCAAGAUUUACACCCAUCAGUGAUUAUUUCUUGUAAAGUUUGAUAUCUCUCCAUCUUGAGUCCAUGUAAUUGCUCGAGCCUGCAGGAGCAGCAUAAACACCGCAUUUGAAAUACAAGUCUCCGGGUCCCUGAUCAUUCACCACAAACUUCUGUUCGCCGUCGAUGAAAACUGUGAUCUUCCCUUUUCCCACAUCAUGAAUGACAUUGAGUCUGAACCAUUUAUCGUACAGAUCUGUCGCCACUACGUUGAAUUUAUAGUAUUUCAUAUCUCCAUUAUAAAUUCUAAGUUGCAGGGUUGUGGCUCCCUCGGAUGCUCCAUGAAUCUGCAUAAUUGUUACGCCGGAUGUGCCUUUUGGGACAUAAGCAUAGCCCUCAAAUUGCCAAAUUCCGGAUGAGUAAUCAUGCCCCUGAAAUAGAGUCAAAAUACUUGAGAAACGCCCUGAAAAAUUCAGCUUAUGCCUUGAGGUACAAAUUAACGUGAACCUUUUACCUUUAUGCGCACUUCAGUACGCGGUCUGGUGCCGCUGCUAGACUUGAAGGGCUUGUCGUGGUUGUAAACCCAAAAACUUCGUACCCCAUCUUUGUCACUGUAACGAGUUCCCAGGGGUUCGUUGUAAGGUUUCUGUAAGAUGAAAUUUUCCUCGGCUAACGCCACUUCAGUGAAUCCAUCAGUAGGAUCAGCGCCAAAAAUUUGAUGGCAUUUCAUAGAGCAUAUAACAAGUAACAACAGGAAGCUGUAGUGGCAAGACUUACUCAUUUUCCCAAAUUCUUCUGGCAAGUACAGAACCUGUGAAGCUAAUUACCACCCCAGUAGUAUCUUGGAUGCAUUUUUAUAAUCAGAUUUUACAGGGGGUUUUUCGAGUCCAAACAAUAUUGAAAUCAGCUGGUUAAAUUUAUCUUCUUGUUGCGGGUAAAUAAAGUAAUAGGAAAACUUUUCGGCAAGUUUCUGACCAUUGACUGCUAUGAUUGUUUUUAUCAAAUCAAAGUGGGAAUUAUGUGCAAAGAAAAUUCAGCCAAUUAUUAUGACAAUUGAUAGCGAGUCUUAGGAAUACAACAUUGUUGUCUCUGUAAAUUGUCAUAUAGCAUCACUUCACUAGUUUAUCCUACAGUAUCCACGUCAUUUAGAGGUUUUGCUUUGUCAGAUUGAAUUAGUUUGUAUUAUUUUGCUUAUCCUUUACGGUAUAGCUUCGCUCUGAGAAAAUCAAAAUCAUUUUCGAUUGUCACUCUUUGUACACACAUAACCGGAAUAAAUUUUUAUCUUGCAGUAAGAGUGAUCUAAAUUUUUAUCCAGAGGAGAACGAUUUUAUUAUAUACAUGUAUGUAUCCUAUUCUUCAGCUUCCAAUUUCCACAAGUAAACUGGGGACACCACAUUAUGUUUCCAUUUCAUCAAAUUCAUGUUAAUGUUAUCCAAUUCAUAUAUAAAAUCCCACAUAACAGAUUGCCUUUUUGACAUUUUUGACACCACCAUUAGAAAAGGCUAAGGUUCGUCAUCCUUUUUUUUUUUUAAUCAAUGCUUAUGCUCUUGAUUUUCUGCCCCCAUAAUUUAUGAAACUGCUAAACAAAUUUAGUGCAAGUUUGGGCAUCAAUGGAUUUUGCUUAAAACAUGGAAACCCUAUCAUACAGGCUUUUUGUUCUCUGCUUGUUUCCAUUUCAUUAUCACUUUUGCUCAUCAAACUGCCAUCACAUUUUUGUUUAUUUGCUUUCCAUAACUAACCUCAAUUUCUAAUUGGAGAAUGAUGCUGCUGCCAACUUUGUCUUUUGUAGCAUUGAGAAGCCUAAGGUUAUUUUGUUUGAUUACUUAAAACUUCUUAAUGUUGACAUUUCUGGCCCCAGUUUGAAUAUUUUGUCCAAAUUAUUGUCUCAACUCAAAUUUCGGAAGUAAUAUCAUUGAUAUUGGAUUGAUUCCUCAUCAGACUUGUGCAUUAUUUAUUCUCUUAACAUUUUCUGAAGGGGGUUCGUUGUGUUCCUUUGGAUGUCUUCUUGUUACUGUCAGGUAUAUGGAAUCUAAACUGGGGAAUAUAUUUGCAGUUUAAUUUCCUAAAUAUAUAUUGUAAAAUUUAUUCUAAAAGGGGAUCACACGCAGUGCUUUGCGGAAUUGAAAAUGAUUCAAUGAGUCCAGGACAUGCAAUUUUUCCAAGCUCAUUAACCUAAGAUUUUCCCAACUUAAUAACGCUUUCUGGGUGAAAGAUGCUUGUAAGGCAGGGGCACUUGUUACAUCCCCACAAGUGAAUGCGAAUCUUAAACAAUCUAUAAGUCUCUGAUAUCUCUACUCAGUUUCCCGGACUGGACGCCGGUCUAUUAAUUUCUUCAUAGUCACAGCUCCAACGUUACACAAUUUACACAACAGAGCACACAGCUAGCAUCAUAAAACCUCCGAAAUUUAUUUCUCAACCCAAGGUGAUAACAAUGAGCUACAUUAUUCUUAAGUUCAGGAUUCACACUUCUUAAAAAUUUUGAUGUCUCUCCACCUAGACUCCAUGUAAUAGCUUAUAUUAGCAGGAGCAGCAUAAACUCCACAUUUGAAAUGCAAGUCCCCUGGCCCUUUAUCCUUGGUUGCAAAUUUUUGAACACCAUCAAUAAAAACAGUUACCAUCCCACCAUCCACAUCAUGAAUGAUAUUAAGCCGAAACCACUUGUCGUACAGGUCAGUAGCCACCAGAUCAAAGCUGUAGUACCUCAUGUCGCCGUUAUAGAUCCUUAGGAUCAACGUAGUAGCCCCGUGAGCUGCGCCGUGAAUCUGAGCUAUUGUAGCACCAGAGGUUCCGUUUGGCACAAAACCAUACCCUUCAAAUUGCCACACUCCUGACGAAUAGUCCACGCCCUGCAGAAAUUCAAAAGAUUAAAGAACUUAACAGCAAAGUGUCACAUCUUUAAUCUUCUUUUAGAAACCCACAAACAUAUUUGAUAUUUUGCUGAAUUUAAUUAAGGUUACGCGUAUGCGGAUUUCUGUGCGCGGUUGGGUGAGGCUGUUGGGAUCAUGAGGCUUGUCAUCAGCAUAGACCCAUAAUUUGUGCACCCCAUUUUCAUAGCUGUAACGUUCUUCCAGUGGUACAUCAUAUGGUCGUUGCAGUUCCAAGUUUUCAGGUGUCAAUGCCACGGGGCUGAAGCCAUAUGUGGGAUCGGCAGAAGCAUAACACAGAAUGAUUUUGAACUUGUUCAGUAAAACCACAAGAAGAACAAAGGGAAGCAUGUAGCUUUUGGGCUCAACCAUUUUGGUCAGUCACUUUGCCUGGACUUGAGAUGCUCUGUGUGAAGCACUAGCCACCAGGCAAGUAAAUACAUAUAUAUAACUCAAGUAACCAAUUCUUCCAAUCAUGCCUUGCUAUGAAAUAAUAAAUGUUAUCUUAUCCACCUAAUGUGUCAAGGUGACAACACUCCUUGCUAAAUAAAAUUUUAGGAAAGACCCACAACUAUUUAUUUUUUUUCCUUUAGAAAAGUAGAAUAUUCAAUUUUCCUUAGCCGUAUUAAAUUUCUCGUCACGCUAUUGGGCCUUAUACACCUUGCGCCUGCCAUCUUCUUUCAUUGGGCCUGAGAUCCAAUAAUAUUGUUUUUAAUUGUUAAUUUUUUGAAUAAAUGAGUAGCAAAAAUAAAAACUAAUUAACUUUUAAAUGGGCUUUUAAUCUGCAAACACAAUCAACAGCUUAUUAAUUAACCUAUUCACAUAAUAAUUAAUAACUGGAUAGCUUUAUUACCAUUUCUACCAAUAAUAAAUUAAUAAUAAUAACAAACUUCAAUUAUGUACAGUUAGGAGACCAAAGUCUUCAGCUCUUGAGUUCACUACACUCCAGUGACAUUCCUUCGUCGGAGAUCAUGCGGUUGCCGGCGGCGAGGAGCGGCGGAGGUCUGGGCAUCGCCGCCAUGUCUUACAUCUUAAUAGACUACCUGCGCCACCUGUCUCCAGCGUGGCACGCGCGCUUGCAGCCGGUGCUCUGGACCGUACUGGCUCUGAUCGCCAUCACACGUGUCCCCUAUUACAGGCACUGGACCGCCGAGUUCCGGGCGGCAAUUCCAUUCGUGGGUUCAAUGAUUUUCAUGCUAUCUGCUCUUCUCUUCGAGGCUCUCUCCGUUCGCUUCGCUACUGCAGUGCUUGGCCUUGAUUGGCACAGGUAACUGUGCUGGACAUAAAGAUAUAAACCUUUUGUGGUUUGUUUGAUUCUGUUGGUCAGUUUUAUAUUUUUAUUCUUUUUGGAUCUAAUAAUGUUGCGAGGCAACCUCUACUGUAGAAUGGAAUUGAUGACCCAGGAACUUAUCAUUUUGUUUUUCCUUAAUCGUCUUUCAAAUUCCGUAUUUACUGGUGAACUUAGCUCAAAAGUACUGAUGACCAAGCAACUUAACAUUUUCUUAAUUGUCAAAUCAUUGUAGCUUUAAUGUCCCUGUAUUCAUCACAAACCGUAUGGAACAUUUAUGACUUUAAAUCUGGUGUUGAUUAAUGUGUAAUGUUCACAUGAAUUAUCUUCUGCAUCUCUAGGUUUUUCUACUUCCCUUGAGUUGAGAGACAAUACGUUUCAGUUUUUAGCUAUUUCAUCUUUGAGUAUCUUCAAUGCUUUAAAAACAGGAUUAUUGAUUGGCUUGGCAAUGUCCAACAGUGAUACAGAUCCUCUGCCUGAUACUGGUCAGUGGUUGCUCCUGGCAUUAAAUGAGAAACUUCCUGGAACAAUAGUCCAAAUAUUGAGAGCUCGUAUCAUUGGGCUACACCACUUUCUGAUGUUGUUUAUGAUGCUGGCUUUCUCUGUACUAUUUGACUCUGUAGAAGCUCCUGGCCUUGGGCUAGGUGCAAGGUAUAUGUUCACUAUGGCAGUCGGCCGACUCCUUCGGGCCAUAACAUUUGUAUCUACCAUUCUGCCGUCAGCCCGGCCUUGGUGCGCUUCGGCAAGGUUUAGAGUCCCCGCGUACCCUCAUUACUGGGCACAGAAAUAUUAUGUGCCUUAUGCUUCAGAUGCCAGUGCUAUUCGUCAGAUUAUAAAUCAGGAUAUGGCUUAUGGUAUGUGUUGCUUAUCAAAUUCAAUUUGCGUUGUCUCCUUGGCUAUCUGGAUUUAGUGUCUGAGUAUCUUCAUUUUUUGCUGGGAGUCUGGGACCCCAAUUGGAUGUGCUGCUGAGUGCUCUGUCAGCUUCUGUUUUGUGUUGAUACUCUUUUGUUUUCCAUUCGGCUCCUCUCCUUCAUUUCUUCCAACUGAACAUGGACUUAGGAUUUAGGUAAUGGAUGAUGUUCAAUGGCCCUAUACUGACCACUAUAAUUCAACUGAUAAAAGCAAAUUAUUCUGAUUAUCAAGUCAUGCAAUCAAGUGCUUGUGGCUCAUGCCAGAUGAAAUAGAUUCAAGAUUCCUAACUGUCUUUUCUAGAUAGACUAAACUUUACUGAUGAAAUAUGACAGUACCUAUCUUAUAUGAGGCAUUCGUUCUUCAAUAUGAUGUGCUAUCCUAAAUUCAUAUUAAGUUUGUCUCAAUGACUGGAAGGGUCCUGUUAACACCUCUAUUAUCUUUUUCAGCUGAUGUUGGUAAUUAUCCGAGUGACUAUCGACUGGAUUGGGGUUCUAUGAGUUUCUUAAUUGACUUCCUGCGACCGACUGCAUCAGAAGGAUCUUCAUGGUUCAGUCUGCUGAAGAAAGCUGGUGGUGGCUGCAAUGACCUUAUAUACAGUGGUCACAUGCUUGUUGCUGUACUGACAGCUAUGGCUUGGACGGUAUUCAUACAAAUCCAUUGUCAAGCAAUGAGAAUAAAUGACUAAUUACAUACUCUUAUCAGCCUUUGUUUCUUAAAAUGAUUGCAGGAGGCUUACGGAGGCUUUAGCUCGGCUCUCGUAUGGCUGCUUGUAAUGCACAGUGCCCAGAGAGAAGUUCGGGAACGCCACCACUACUCUGUGGACUGCAUUGUGGCAAUAUACGUAGGCAUCCUCCUCUGGAAGAUGACAGGUUUUAUCUGGCCACUCAAGGAUGCAUCCAAGAGUAAACGGCUCAACAAACUUGAUAAAAUCCAAAGUAGACUACUCCAAGCCGCUAAAGACUCGGACAUGGACAAGGUAACCGAGCUUCUCAAAGAAGUUGAGCUAGGCGGUCAAGAAACCCAAAACAAAGGCCCCAGCAAGGGCCUGUGGUUGUUUGCAUGCGCCAUAAUUUUCUUUGCACUCACCAUUGUUGUACUCGCCUUCACGUUGACGAGCGAUGGAUGAUUUUUUUUCCGAUCUGCACAUUGUUGUAUUUCUAUGUAGUGCAACAUUUUGUUAACGGGGAAAGGUUUUGAUUUUUAUGCUGCCAGAAAUGGUGUUGGGAGUAAUAAGACAAUUUUAGCAGACAAUUUUAGCGGCAUAACAAAUUAACAAUUAACACGUUGAUACAAAGGAUGACUUGUAGCUGUAUUAUGUGACCUUUAGGUAGCUCCUUGGCUUUUUUCUGUUGCUUGGGCUUUCUUAUUUGGAUGAUGAUUGGAUCCUUGAAAUUAUGUUUGAGUUGGACCAUUGGCACCUCUCUCAUCUCCUCAUAAAAUCUCUUUUUUAGUUAUAUUUAUUUUAUUUUUGAAAAUAUCCUUUUUUUUAGAUACACUUUUCUAAGUUCUUAAUUUUUAUUUGAUUUGUUUUAUUAUUAAAACUUAAAGUAUUAUUGUGCUAUUUUUUAUUUUCAAUUUCAUUAUUAAUCUACACACAAAUUAAAAAAUUAUAUGGGUGAUAAAUUUUUUAGUGUUAAUCAUUGGUUGAAAUAACACAUAUUUUAAAUUAUAAUUUCAAAGUAAUUUUAAGUAUAAAAAUAUUUAAUCAAUAAGAAAUCAAAAGAGAACAAUAUAUUAUUUUAAAUUUGUAUAAUUUAUUUUAGUUAAAUAGGAAGUAACACAUAUAUAUAUAUAUAUAUAUAUAUAUAUAUAUAUAUAUAUAUAUAUAUAUAUAUAUAUAUAUAUAUAUAUAUAUAUAUAUAUAUAUAUAUAUAUAUUGAAAAGAAUUAAUUAUGAAUUAAGUAAUUUGCUGGAAAAAAAUCUUUAUGUGUUUAAUUUUUAAUUGUCCUUAAUUGUAAUUUUAUUUAAAGUGGGGUUUUGUAAGAAAAAUGUAGGGGUGCCAAUAGCUCCACUCAUUAUGUUUUUAUUUAUUUUUCAAUAUUUAUUAUGAAUCCUUUUGUCAACUCCUUUUAUGACCAUUUUAUCAGUUUUGUAUAUAAACAUCUAAAUCAUGAAAAAUAGUCAUAGUUAUGUUUAAAGGAAAAAGUAAAAGAAAAAUUAGUUAAAAGAAAAAUUAAUUACAUUCACCAGAUGAAUUUCAAAAUAAAAAUGCCACGUGGGAUUAAAAUUCUCCAAAAAAAAAGGCUGAACACUCUUAAAGUCCCGUCACUAGCAAGGAAAAAAGAAAAAAAAAAGUUCAGAAGCAGAUAUUCUUCAGAGCUUAAACGAGAGUCUUUUGCAACCGUCCGAUAUAAACACAAAAGAAAAUUUCCAACCAUCCGACGAUUCACAAUACGCCGAUCUAGUGAAUUAUCCUACUAUCUGCCCAGCAAAUUCAUGCCGCGGUUAUCUAUCUUGCCUCCGCAUUGCACCUACCAAAUAAACAGAUUCUUUUUCCCCUCCAAACCUGUUGCUCUCUGUCGAUUACAUCCAAAAUACAGAGCUAAAAUAUUUAUUUUAGGAAAAAGUUUGAAAGUCAAUUGCAAUGGCGAUUUCUUUGACGGCGUCUACAAUUCCUUCAUUAAAUGCAAAAGUGUCCGCUAGCAGUUCAUCAAAACUCUCUCGGCUGUCUUCUCUGCAAUUCCCCGUGCAGUUGCGCCGCCUUCGAAUUUCUAACGGCUCGAGAACUUCAUCUUCCUCCAAACGUCGCUUGCUGCCAGUGGUAAUCUUUGAUUUUGCUUUGUUUUGAGUAGUUUUUAAUUAAUAUUUGUUUACGAGUUCCUUAAUUGAAAUAAUUACUUUCGGUAGGUUGAAGCGAAGAAGCAAACAUUUUCGUCACUUGAUGAUUUGCUGCAGAAAUCUGACAAGCCUGUGUUGGUUGACUUCUAUGCCACCUGGUAAUUUUCAUCCUUCGCUCAAGAAAAUUUUAACAUUGUAUAAUGAACAUCAAGUUGAUUACUUAUGCUAUAUUUUUUACUUAAUUUUAAUAACAAAGUAGCUAAAUUGUUUGGUGAGCAUUCUUUUUUAUGGCAGCUAAUGUUGAUUGCCUAGCCACUUGCCUAUACUUGUCAGCCAGUAAUUUCAUUCCACAGCUUCUGAUUUUGUUUUUGUCUUGUUUGUUAACAGUUACCAUCUAGUGUUUGCACUUCAAGUUUGUUAAAAGGUUUUAUAAAUUGAAACAUAGACAACUCGUGAUAUGGUUUGCAGGUGUGGUCCUUGCCAGUACAUGGCUCCUAUCCUCAAUGAAGUUGGUGCUGCUCUGAAAGAUAAGAUUCAGGUGGUCAAAAUCGAUACUGAGAAGUACCCUCAGAUCGCUGAUACAUACAGAAUAGAGGCCUUGCCAACUUUCAUUCUAUUUAAGGACGGGAAACCUUCUGAUCGCUUCGUAAGUCAAUUUAAUAUUGUUUUUUUUGUUUUCCUUGAAAAUUUAAUUUGUGCAUCUUUACAAAAUCAUUGUUUAUUCUCUGUGAAAAUGCAUUAAAGUGUCAAGUGACUACUAUGAAUAACCUGAAGAUCCUCUCUUUCCCAUGCCUGUAAAUUUUGGUGUUGAUAUUUGGAUUUGGAAAUUCUUUUCAAGCAUUGUCUUUCACUUUAUUGGAUUCCGUUAUAAUCGAUGUGUAGCUCUGAGGGUUAUCCAAUAUUCCAAAGUUUGUUGCUAGGCCUGGGAUAUUUCCUUUACACAGAUAGUAUCAUCAUCAAUAACUUAUGCAUUUUGUUGUUUGAGCCACUGGUGUAUUUUUGACUCAGUUGACUGGCAUCAGCAGUAUGCGCAUAUUGUCAUUGUAUGAUUCUUUUUUGCUUUUCAGUUACUUUUUCUGGUAGCUGUUGCCACAGGUUAGUUCUUUCAUAUGCCUGUGGACAUUAAGUUCAAUAACAAUCCUGAUGGUUGAUUGUUUUCAGGAGGGUGCUUUUUCUAAAGAUCAGCUUAUCCAACGCAUUGAGAAUUCAUUGAGCGUCAAGCAAUAGUUGUGGUGAGCUCUAGUUUUUAUUUAUUUCUACUUUUGAGUCUGCCCCAAUGAGUUUAUGUCCUCAAAGAGCCCUUUUAAUUGCCAUUCUCCUGUUGGCUCACUCUCUGCUAUUUUUGAUGUUUUGCAGUUUCUCAGGUUCUACCAGGAAACCAAUGUAAUCAAGUUGUUAGAUUGGAAUAUUGAAUUCAGUAAACAGGGAAUUCACAAGGAAAUUGUCUUUUCGUUUCUUUCCAUUUUUUAUUUUCGAAUCUCUUGUAUUUUUACCUAAAUUUUAUGACCUAUUUUUUUUAGGUUAUGCUGCUGAUUUUUUUACAAUAAAAAAUUUUGAUGACCUACUGUAUUGAAAUUUUGGUGUGAAUUCAUCAUGUUAAUGGUGCUGUCAUGGCAGUUUCUGUGUCUCUUUAGUUUGUUCAAUGAUCUUGGUCUGCAGUAUAGUGGAUGACUACUGACUAGUAAUAAGGGCUCACUCGACACAGUAAAGGGCAUAUAAGAUCCUCCAGAAUGACCAAUGCUUUUCAAGUUUCUUGACUCUAAAUAAUAUACAUUUUAAUUAAGGUUGUAGAUUUCAAGUAUAAUGCAUUGCGAUAUCAUCGCUUUAUCUAUAUUUUCCUUGAAGUUUUAAUAAUAUAGUUACAAAUUUUUAUAUAAAUUUAUUUUGUACAAAUUGAUAUGACAUAAUUAAAUUAAUUGAAUUAAAUAUUUCUUGAUUCAUUAUAUUUAUUUUUAUUAUUUUAAAUUUUUUUAAUUAAUAAAUUAAUAUCAAAUCAGUUUGUCCAAACUUAUUUUUACAAAAAUUGAUGAUUGUAUCUUAUAGACUCCUCAUAAUUUGCGGGGAAGGAAAUUGUAGGCUUUUGUUUUUGUUAUUGUGUUUUUUUUUUCCGGUUUUUAUGAAAAACAAUUGAGUGAAAAAGCUAUUAGCUAUCUAAUUAACUGGUGUUACUAAAACAACCCUGAUUGGUGUCAACGCUGAAUUAAUAAUAGCGGUGAGCAAGGGGGGUAGGGUCGUCUAUUAAAUGAGAUUAUACCAUAUACCGUCCAGGUGAGAAAUUGCCAAACCCCGAGGGAGGUAAGCGAUAUUACCUUUUCCUAUUCUACUUAUCGACUCCUUCUCUGGCAUAGGCUGAUCAGCAACGGGGAGAUGGAAAUGGAAAUGCGUGCGAGUGAGGAAAUAAGGCAAGGUGAAGACAUAACGCCACCAUUAUUUCCUCUCACUUUCGCAUUUCACGACUCUUUACUCGACGGUCACUGUUCGUCUUGCUUCUCUCCACUUCCUUGUUGCUGCUCCUCCCUCCCCCUCUCCUCCGCCGAACUCCGCGCCGCUCUCCACCUCCUCCACUCCCCUCUUCCCACUACCUCUCUUCCUCCUCCUCCUCGUCUCUUCGGCUUACUCACCAACCGCGACAAGCUAAUGUCUUCCUCCGACUCCGAUGUUGCGUCCAAAAUUCGAGAAGGAGCGGGGGAGAUGGGGAGAGCGAGAGGGAAUUUGUCCGACGACGUCGCUUGGGAGGAGGCUGCGUUGUGUUUGGUGAUGACCAAUGCCGUUGAGGUGCAGGAUGAUAAGACAGGGCGUAUUUUAGGUAUCGCCGUGUACGAUAAGGAUUUCUCUUGGAUCAAUCACAGCUGUUCUCCCAACGCUUGUUACCGCUUCUCGCUUUCUGAGCCAAAUGCUCCGUCGUUUCGCGAUGAAAAGAAAAUGCGGAUUGCUCCUCACGUUGUUUUCGACAGCACUGAGGCUGAAACUCCAGUAAAAUCCCAGCUAUGUUGAAAUUUUUUUGAAUUUUUUAACUGACUUGAGCAAGUCGAUAAUUGAUUUGAUGCAGGGAAAGAGUGAUGUUUGUAUCAGUUGUGAAUUAAAAGAAGGUUGCUAAUGCUAAUUGUUGUUCAUUUCUAUAUAAAUUUUGCACAUUGUUUGAUUUUUGCCGUUCUGAAUUUCAUUUAAUUUUAUUUUCAAGGAAGUAAGAGACAUGGUCCAAGGAUCAUUGUAAGGAGUAUUAAGCCAAUUAACAAAGGCGAGGAGGUAACUGUUGCUUACACUGAUUUGUUGCAACCUAAGGUACUACAUUCCAUUUAAAAUCAGCUGAUCAGGCAUUUGUUUUAUUUGAUAAUUUUGUAUAAUUCUACAUUGUUCAAACCAAUUUUAUUUUGUUUAGGGAAUGAGGCAGUCAGAGUUGUGGUCAAAGUAUCAAUUUGUCUGUCACUGUAAGCGAUGCUCUGCGUCACCUCCAAGUUACGUAGAUAUGGCCUUAGAGGUAAAAACUUUAUGUAAAUUGUCCGCGGGAAGAUCUCAGUUGCAAACGAGUGGUGUGACAAGUAUUGAACUCUCGAGGGCUUUUUUUGUUCUUUCUCCAGGAAACCUUUUCUUCAAAUCCUGAGUUUUCGAGCUUGAGUUCUGAUUACAACUUCCUCAAGGACGAGGCAAAUCAAAAGUUGACUGAUUGGAUGGAUGAAGUUACAUCUGAAUAUCUAUUAGUUGAUGAUCCUGAAUCUUGCUGCCAGAAGCUGGAGAACAUCCUUACCCAAGGUCUGCAGGGUGAGUUGUUAGAAUCCGAAAAAGUAAAAAUACAGCUGAAUUUGAGGUUGCAUCCCCUGCACCAUCUCUCACUGAAUGCCUAUACAACACUGGCAUCUGCAUAUAAAACCCGUUCAAUUGACUUAUUAGCUCUCAAUUCUGACAUUGAUGGACAGCAAUUGGAAGCUUUUGAUAUGAGCAGGGCAAGUGCCGCAUACUCAUUACUGCUUGCUAGUGCGACUGACCAUUUGUUCCGAUCUGAGUCAUCUCUGAUUGCAGCGUCUGCAAAUUUCUGGGCAAGUGCAGGGGAGUCCUUGUUAACUCUUGCUAGAAGCCCAGGGUGGAAUUUAUUUGUGAAACCGGAAUUGCCUAUUUCAACCUCGUCCCCUGAGAUUCAUGAGUGCUCCAAGUGCUCACUAGUGGACAGAUUGCAAGUGAAUCCAUUUCUUAGUCAAUCUCGAAAUGCCGAUUUCCAGAUCAUAUGUAAUGAGUUUCUUGCUUGCAUCACUAAUAUGACACGAAAAGUUUGGGGUUUUCUUACACAUGGAUGUGGGUACCUGCAAAUGUUGAAAGAUCCCAUUGAUUUCAGCUGGCUUCGGCAGUCUUCCAAUUUGUGCCACACUCCAUGCUGCAGUGAUGAGGAAUCCAAUAAGGAAACCGGGUAUCAAGAAAGUAUUUGCAGAAGGGUAAUGCAGCGGUGUGAUGGUGAAGAAAGGAUUACUAUCUUUCAGCUUGGUGUUCAUUGUAUAGCUUAUGGAGGAUAUUUAGCAAAUAUAUGCUAUGGUCCGAAUUCCCAUUGGCCUUGUAAAAUUAAAAAUGUUGUACAAAACGAAGAGAAAUUGGUUCAUUGUUGAAAGAAUUUUCAAUUUUCCUUGCCAGUUAAAUUUUAAAGAACUAUAUGUGAAAGCGCCACUAGAAAUGACUAAUAUGUUUGAUCUGCCAUGCUUUGUGAGAUCCUUAAUAUGAAAUUCUCCUCUAAAUCGCAUAUGAAGGAAGAUGAAUAGAUGAAUAGAUGAAUAGAUGAUCAAAAGCGCUAGUCAGACAUAAGCGGUCGUGAAAUGGGCAUGGGCCAUGACUAUUUUGUAUCGAAAACAGAAUAAUUCCAAUUCACACCUUUAAGUACACCAACGCGGUUCGGGGAGUCCAACUUCAAGAGUAAUGCACCGAUUUUUUUUCCAAAAAAAGAAAGAAAGAAAUUGUUACAAUCCACCUGUACAUUAAUCUACUGGAAGCCUAUAUACAUACAUUUUAUAUAACAGAAUUUCAGAUUUGGAAAUCCACCCUUAUAUACCACUGGGGUUCAAAUCCAAUGUAAUGCAGUGAUGUUAGAUCUGAAUUUUAUUUGCACAAUUUUCAAAACUAAUUGUUAGAGUUUUGGAUCAUCUAAAUUGUUAGACAGAAAUUAAGUCUAUGCUGUCUCACUACUUCUUUAUUGAAUACGAUACAAGUGUGCGUACAUAAAUGUAUUUCGAUGUUUAAUUAUGAUUUUUUUUUAUCACUACUUUAAUCACAAUUCAAUUUUUUUUUUUUUCUGUAAAUUUUUUAUACUAUUUCAAGAGGUUUUAUUGCCAGUGUAAGCUAACCAAUAAACAACAAUAUUACUCGUCAAAAAAAGAACAAAUAACAAUAUCGAAUGGAAAGUUUUCUAUCACAAGCACACAUAUGUGAGGCGAAUGUAAUGUUCUUCCAGAAAAGCUUUUGGUGACCUCUCAGUAGGCUAAAUAAAGCAUUAAUAUUUCAUGCGAUGCCUAUAUGGUCUGUUUCAAUUGAUAUAAGAAGUAUCAAUGAUUUAGAGGAGCCGUUGCUUAAUGAAUUAAGCUCCUUCAUACACGUUGUAAUUGGGGAUUGUAGCUUCUCCUUACGUGUAUGGUGGAGCUGGAAGCAUGUGGCCUCAAUGGAACCCAAAUCUCCUUCAUUAGUGUCAAAACAAUUUAGGUGUUGAAUCAAUUAGCACUCGCUAGUAUCCGAAGUUUCUAAUUGCACAAAAAUUAACUAAAAUGGAAUACUAGUGCUGAGCUUAUCCAAUAAUUUAGCUUAAGAGAUUAAUUUAAUUGAACUUACGUGUCAUUACUUUUUUUGGUCUGUGAUCACUCGAUUUUAAUACUAAUUUUGAACCCCUUCCAAUCAAACAUGAACAGUUGGCCUUACCUCGAUCCUAUACAUGACAUAAAAUCAAGCAAAUCAAGAGGGGUCUUAAUUAAACGUUAGAACAUUAGGUUACGCAAUUGUUAACAUCACAUUACCGAAUCAAUCAGACCCCCACCCAUCAAAGUUCAUCAACCACACAAACCGAUUUUAGUACUUUUCCAUCGAUCAUUAUCCUACCUAUAAACGUGGCUGCACGAUCUUGUUUCCAUGGGACCCAUAAAUAAGGCAAGUCCAUACUCAUAUUUUAAUAUACAGAUGCAUUGAUUUAUUAAUAGUUUCAUCUAAUUAGAGAUAAUAUAAUCAUGAUGAUGCAGUUAAAUUUUAUAUAACCAUCAAUUAUAUGUUAGUUCUUUAAAAUAAAUUUAUAAAUUUAAUAAUAUUAUUUUAUUUAUUAUAUGAUUGAUAUAAUACUUUAAAGGUAUUCUAAAAUUUCUCCACCUCUACAUAUAUAUAUAUAUAUAUGUACACAUGUCAAAUGACUUAUGCCUCUAAGCUUUAUUUCCAACACCAAUGUCUCUAAGCUCCCAACGUUUUGGACUUCAACAUUGUUUUUUUUUUUUUUUAAUUUGGAUUUGGUCAAUCACUAUGUUACAACAGUUGCAAUACUUUGGAUUACCAACAAAAAAAUUUGUCUUACUUUAAAAGUUGUUUAUUACAGUAUUUCAAUUUUUUCAUUAUACAAAAAUAUUUGAGAACCAUAAGUCAUUCUAUGAUACCGUGUUAAAAUCAUGACAUCAAUGCUAUAAUCAAACAUAAGUUCUAUAAUUAAAAUAUAAGAUUUGUGAAUUUAAUAUAAAAUUUGUAAAUUAAUAUUAACUAUAAAAUAAAAUAUAAAUUUUGAAAAUGGAAAAAAACCUUGUAAAUGAAAGGUAAAACAAGUAAGUUAAUAUAAAACUAGUAAAUUGAUAUAUUAUUUGUAAACAAAUUAAAAACUUAGAAAUAUAACAUAGAACUAGUAAAUUAACAUUAAGUACAAAAUAAAAUAUAAAAUUCAGAAAUUGAAGAUAACACCUCUAAAUGGAAUGUAGAGUAAGUAAAUUAAUAGAAAACUAGUAAGUUGAUGUACUUAUGGUAAACAAAACAAAAACUUAUAAAUAUAACAUACAAUUAGGCCAAGUCUCACUGAUGAGCGCUGACGUAAUGCCCCAACUACAUCUUAAGGAGGUUAUUGAUAUAUUAUUGGUCAACAACACAAAAAACUUACAAGUAUAACACAAAACUAAUAAAUCAAAUUAAGUGUAAAAUAAAACAUAAAUUUUGAAAAUAAAACACAAGACUUAUAAAUGAAAUGUAAAACAAGCCAAUCAAUAUAAGAGUGAUAAAUUAAUGUUUUACUAGUAGACAAAAUGAAAACUUGCAAAUGUAACAUAAAACUUAUAAAUUAAUAUUAAGUGCAAAAUAAAAUAUAAAUUUUAUAUAUUACACCUAAAAUGUAUGAAUAGAAGGUAAAAUUAGUAACUUAAUUUAAGAGUUACUUAAAAAAAAUGUAAAAAAAUUACAAACGUAAAAUAAAAACCCAUUGAUUAUCUUAUAUAUUUGAUUUUGUAUUUAAAUUGAAUAAUGAUUAUUUUUUGUUCUUGUGAUACAUUUGAUGUUUUAUUAAGGAUAAAACUUAUUCUCAAAGUUAAAUAAGACUUAUUGAGGAUAAAACUUUAAUGUUUUCAAAGUUGUUUUAAAAUGAGCUCAUUUUACAUUUUUCUACACCUCAGCAGCAGCAUAAAUGGUUCUUGAAUAUAAGUAAGGAGUAAAGUUUAAAACUAUGCAUAAAACUCAAAAUUAAAUAUAAUUUUAUUGAUAUAUCAUAUGUGUCUAGUAAUAAGAAUAUCUUUUUAUUUUGUUUCUGUUUGAUCUACGUUAAGAUAAAUAAUUUCACUUAAUUAACUUGUGUCGUAAAUAGAUAUUAUUAUAGAAAAUUAAAAAAAAAGUUCAUAAACAUUCCAGAAUGAGCAUAGAGUUUAUAGUUAAAACAAUUCAACAAAACCUAUUCCACUUGUUUUCAGUAUAGUUUUUUUUUUCAAUUGAUGAGUGAUUUUUUCCUUUAUUUAAUUAAAGUAAAUGGUUAUAUUAUUUUUCACUAAAAUAAUAUAAAAACAACGUUAAUUAUUUAAAUAAUAAUAUUUUUAUAUUAAUUUACUUAUUCAUAGUCUUAUAUAUAAUUUAUAAAAUUUAUAUUUAGCACAAUACUAAUAUCAUAAUUGUAAUCACAAUAUUAUAGAAUUUCCUAUUUAUAAUAAAAAUACAAGCUGAUAACAGUUACAUUUAUUUAUGACUAUAGUUUAAAGUUGAGAGUUCUAUAUAAUUUUUAAUAUUAUUCAACCGAUAACACUAAAAAGAGAAAAUUAUUUAACUUUAGAUGAUGACCAUUACAUUUAUUUUUCUUUUCAAAAAAAUGGAUAUUAAAUGGUGCAAACAACUGUUGGUAUUAAAUAUCUAGUCUUGCCGACACAUCAACUGCCAUUGGAUUGGGACCCAUUUAACUACCGGCCACAAAACAGUUUGGACAAAACUUAAUCCUGAAAACUUGUGGACCCCUCCUUUUAAAAAAUUAAAGAAAAAUUACGUGUCAAAAACAAGAAGAAAAAAUUACACUGAUGAAUUAUUGUUAUGUCAAAUUAUUUAGGGGUGGACAAAAAAAUCAUAGUCUUAAAUAAAUCGAAUCGAAUCGAUGAUUUUUUCUAAUUUAGUUCAGUUUUUAUUUUUUUUAAAAAUCAAAAUAUAUCAUUUGUAAAAAAAAUUGAAAUGUCGGUUCGGUAUUCGGUUCACUUAGCUGAACCGAAAAAUCGAAUUAUUUUUUGAUUUAUUCAAAUCAAACAUGUGUUAAUAAUUAUAUUCAAAUCAAACAUGAUUUUAUUCAAAUCAAAACAUGUGUUAUUUCUCUUUAUAACAUUAUGAUUAUGUUUAUAUAGAUGGAGUAUUGGAGUUUGGUUAUGUAUUUUGAAAUUUUAAUAUUUCAUAUUUUGGGAGUAUCUUAUUAAUAGUUAGUAAGAUAUUAGUGAUAAAAUGUGUUUUGAAUACUUUGUAUUUAUUGUUAAUAUUUGUAAUAAAAUUAGGAUAAAUUAAUUGUUGAAAAAAAUUAUUACAUUCAUAAGGUCUAAUAGACUAAAAAUUUAAAAAUUUAAAAAUUCAAAAUAGGCACAAUAGGUCAAGAAUCGAAAAAAUCGAACCGAACUGGAUCGAUCCAAAAAGAACCAUUUGAGCUCAGUUCUUAUUGAGUUUGAUUCUUAUUCGGUUCUUUUUAUAAAAUAAUCGAUUUAAAUCGAUUCUAUUUAAUUUCAAACCGAACCGAACCGUGCCCACCCCUAAAAUUAUCACACAUAAAAUAAAGAAUUUAAGCAAAAGUCUUAAACCAUUAUAAAUGUGAACAUAUGGCAGAUUUAUGAUAUGAUGGGUCCACCUAUUAAAUAUCUUUUUUUAGUGUGGAUACUCGUGUUUCAUAAAAGUAUAAAUUUAAUAUUUUAUAAUAGUAUAAAAUAUUUUAUAAAGGGCAAACGUCAACACUUUAAAAAAAAUUCUUAGGAUUAAAGUUUAUCAUUAUAAAAAUAAAGUUGGUUGGUGUGAGUGUUUCGAUAAUCUCAUUUUUUAAGAGAGAUUAGGGAUUUAAGCUCCGCUCUUAUAUAGAGUCACUAUUUUAGUCAGUAUUUUAUCUUUUAUGGGCCGACCUGGUACGAGUAGGGAUUAAUCUAAAUUAUAGUAUCGAUUUAAAAGUAUCUCCUACAAUUGAGGUCCACUCAGAACUGACAAAAAAAAAAUUAUCAUUACAAAGAGUGAAAAAGAGAAAUCCAGUUUUGAGGGUUACCAAAGCACUUAAAAAAAUAUAUAAAGCACAAAAUAUUUAAAAAUUGGAGAGAGUUCGCAUCGAGAAAGGGUCUUAAUUCAUUAAUGCAUAUGACAUACAAUGCAAAGUUUCGCGGUCUAUUAAAGCUAGAAUUAAUUUUAUCCAUUAAACUGCUCUUUUCCUAUUUUAUGGAUAAUUCUUUUGAACCACUGUUGAAGUAUUUGCAAUUUUUUACUAAAUUGUCUCAGCAUGAAGUCUCGUUGGCGAAACCAUCCAUGUCCAAAUAUGACGAAAAUAAAUGAACCAACAAUAGACCAGUCACAUUAUUAUUAUUAUUAUUAUUUGAGCACAUAAAUUGAUUUUCUUAUAGUAAAGAAAAAAAAAGUUUUUUCUCCGUGAAUUUGACUUUUUCUUGUGGUAUCGAACCAACCAUAGACUUAUUACCUCUAAAAUUUUCUGAAGGUUAAGAUUUUUUUUUUUAAACAAUUAAAACCAUCCCCAGAAAGAGACUCGAUGACACGUGUCAAAAAAUUGAAGUUUCUAACGGAGUUAAGAAAUAAGAAUAUGUUAAAAUAAGCAAAUUAAUGCAUACAUGUCAAAAAAUCUUCCAAAUAUUAAUUAAGUAAAUUCAGAUUAGUACAAUUUUAUUGAUUAUUUGAUUGUCACCCAGAAAAUCUAAGAAGAAAUUUUUAGCAACCCUUACUAUUUGGGUCACGAAAAGCUUAUAAAUAGACCCAGAUCUCCCAUACUACGAUCAUCAGCAACACCAAAAACACUUUCUUGAAGUAGCGUCUAUAAAUUUCUCUUCUGCUAUCACUUUUUACUCUAUUAAUUAAUAAUGUCUGAGGAAAAGCACCACCACCACGGCCUCUUCCACCACCACAAGGAGCAUGAGAAGCCUGAGGGUGCCACCGGCUACUCCGACACCGCCACCGGCUACUCUGAUACAGCCACCGGCUACUCUGAUACCCCCACCGGUUACUCCGACUCGACCACCGGAUACUCUGAUCAGUCAGCCACUGAUUACUCUGAGACUACAGGUUAUCCGGGAGACCGGCGUCGGCCAUCGGAGACGGAGAGCGGUGACUAUGGCAGGAAAGAGGAAGAGUUUGAUUACAAGAAGGAGGAGAAGCACCACAAACAUCUCGAGCACCUCGGAGAGCUUGGAACUGCUGGAGCUGGUGCUUUUGCUCUGGUAAAGUGAUUCUUCAUCAAGUGCUUUUUUUAUUUUGUGAUAGUGUAUAGUUUCAUUUCUCAUGCAUACAUACAAAAAAAAAGAUUUUUUUUUUUUUGACAGCAUAUAUAUGUAUAUAUACAAAGUACCACGCAUGUAACUAGGCUUUUUGCAUGGAUUGGAGGAAAAAAAAGAAAGAAUCCCAUUAUUUUCUUUAAUUUUAUCUCUAUGUUGACACUCAAUUAUUUAUUUAUUUAUUUUUUUUUGGGUGGUGGGGGGGUGUGAACCGAUAUUGUAAAUGGAUCAGCUUGAGAAGCACAAGGCAGAAAAGGACCCAGAGCAUGCACACAGGCACAAGAUAGAGGAGGAGAUAGCCGCGGCCGCAGCCGUUGGAUCGGGAGGAUUUGCGUUCCACGAGCACCAUGAGAAGAAAGAAGCCAAGGAAGAAGACGAGGAAGCUCAUGGAAAGAAGCACCACCAUCUCUUUUAAUUAAUUAUGUAUUGCGUGCGCUACCUUUUUUAGUUUAUUAUAAUUAUGUGUUAAUAUUUUCUGUAUUUUAUUUGUUUUUGUUCGUUAAUUAUCAUUGAGCACAGAGGUAGCUAUCUGCAGCCCUAAAUAAUACUCUUGUGUGUUCGCGUGUAUGGGUGAGUCUGGUGACUUUUGUAAAUAGACCGGAGUUAUCUGGUUAUGUUGUCAUCUUACUUUCAUAUUUAUGUUGAUAAUAAAACUUAGUUUUAAUUGUGUGUUUAUUAUUUAUAAGAUUUGACCUCAUGAUCUGAUGUUUUCUCCAAUCUCAGCUGUUGCUUUAGAAGUGGGGAUCAUCUAUUACUAUUGUUUUUAAAUGAACUGAGCUGACAGCCAUUGCGCUAAAGACUAAUUCAACAUCAUAAAUAAACAACUCUCUUUGCGGUGAUGUAAUUUUAUUUGCCAAUGGGAUAAAGUAAAUUUAUGUGAAAUAACAUUUAUUCUAUAUUUAUUAAAUUUUUUAAAGGAAUAUAUAAAGUUUAAAUUAACCUACAACUUUUCUUAAGAUUCAAAUCCUUGGGGGCUUUAUCAAAUAAGAUUUGAUAUUAUAUCUGAAAAUGUAAUCGUGAAACCAAUGAUUAUAAGUUGAACUUAAUGUACAACUAAUCUUGAUAUUACCAAGUUGAUUUAUGGACUUUUGCUCGAGAAUGUUGUAUGGCUCGUGACAAGUUGGACUGAAAAGCCUAUCGAGUAAUGGAAUGUUAGGUGUAUUUUCUCAAGAAGCAACACUAAAUAAUCACCCGCUGAGAGUCACAAGUUUCUUGGCACAAUGUUACUUUCAUGGAUUUAAGUCUCUAAUUAUUGUGUUUUGACUCUAAAGCCAAAUCCCUGUACCAUUGUCAUGAAGGAGGGCCAAAAUAAUCAUUUCCGAUUCGGCUCAACUUUGAUACAAUAGUUGGAGCGAUUAAUGUUACACUUUAACAUCUAACUAGGGACGUAGCUUUCUCCUUUAUUGUAAUAAACAUGAAAGUGAAAAAAAAAUGUAAUUGAAAAGAUUAAGAGGACAUGAAAGAACACGAAACAGGGCUCCAUCUACCAUGCCCCCUUGCGCACCGUACCCCCUUUACUUGUUUUGUAAUGAAGGCACCGUUGGAUGAAAAGGAGGAAGAUCGUGGAAGUGGGAAAUCGCCAGGUGGCAGUUGACAAAAACCGGGAGUAUAAGUCAAUUGACAGGAACUGUUUAUGGUGCAAUAAUUUUAUUAAAAGGAACAACAAAUAUGUUGGUACAGACAACAAUAAAGUAGUUAGCUGAAGCAAUUAUAUGUAGAAGCAAGUAGUUUGUUAGAGACAAUUUUAUGUACGUUAUAAACAAAUAUUUUGUUGGAAGAGGCAUAUAAGUGUGGUUACUGUAGCACGGAAAAUGAAAUGAGAUCAAUUGAUGUUAACUAAAUAAAAAAUGAAGCAUGAACGAAAGGAUAGGAAGUAGAUGUAGUUGAUUAGAUGUGUUGAGAAUACGCUCGGAGCCGCAAAAUCCGGCAGGGCCACAGUAAAUAGAGCAAAAAAUAAUCUAGUAUGUGGAGGGAUGAGUUGGCGAAUUAGUAGGAAGCAUCAAAAAAAUUGAGAGCCGCCGUCGGCUGACCAUUUGUGGCAUUAGUUCCACAAAUUGGCAAAUGGGGGAAGGAAGCUUGUGUAAGUGGCAUUAUUUGUAGUGUAUGGAAAUAAUGGGAAAACGAGGAAAAACAAUUACAGCACAACAAGUAAUACUGAAAUAAACAGAAAGGAGAGAAAAAAUGGAAUGAAAAUAAAGUAUAAUUGCAUAGAUAGUGAUUUAUUUUUUUUUUUAAAAGAAGGAACAAAUUGUAGAGUGGAGAGGAGGUAUAUAUAAUCAGAACAAUAGUGGAUUAGAUUUGUGUGAAAUUUGCAUGAGUCUGAAGAAGUAUAAAUUGGAUUUGAAUAGAAUUUGAACUUAUCUGUGGCUAGGAUUUGAAUAUCAAGUAAAAUACGAAAAAAAACAUGUAGCAAAUAAAGAUUGGCAUGGAAGCAGGAUAAUCAGUUCGAAAAGCAGGAGCUAUGGAAUUGACGAUAGCUUGAAAACCCAUGCAUGUCAGUGUUGUUACAUGGCAGCUAUCACCAUAGGUCCACAUCGGUGACUUGAAAUAACAAAUAUCUCGGAAAGUGGGUGAUUGCUUAAGACGUGAACGACCAAAUGCCCAUCAUCUUUAUUUAUUACCAUGAAACUGCACUUUAUAGCGCCAUAUAAAUACAUUCGUAAUGCACAAAACAAAUACAUGUCCAUUACAUUGGCAGCCCCAAAAUUAAUAAAAUAAUAAUAAUAAUGCUCAUUUCUAAUGAAAUCAAUAAAUCAGAUCUACAAUGGACUGUAACCCAUAGGCAUGAUGCAUCCGAUUCACUUCUUUCCAUUACUUGUUGCAAUUUCACUUUCUGAUUUUCUACACAGAUUCAUUGAAAAAACUUAACAACUCUGAAGUUACUAUGGAACUUUCGAUCAUACAUUUGAUUAUCAUUACAUGUACUUACAAAGAUACAAAACAGAUAAAUUAAUUAAUCCCUUGAUCAUUAUACUACAAGUGCAAAAAAUUGUGAUAUAAAUUUAGGAAAAUCAGUUGGGUGGAAAUUGAUAAUUAAGACGCGAUGUGCUUCUAAGAAGUUGAAGCUGAAUGUAUACUCAGCAUAAAGAUAAAUAAACGGGGACGCCAAACACCACUAAUACAAUAAAAUUACAGAGAAAAACAACUAUUUUUUCUCAUCAAUCCUGCUGCAUUAAAUGGGCCCAGUUGAACUGCUGGUAAUAAUCCCUAAAUCAAUUUGAAAUCGAUGCCCUCUACUCCAUAAUUUUACCCUAAAUCUCACUUCCCAGUAGGUUUACCAACAAAAAUUCACUAUUCAACUCAUGCAUUUCAAUUUCAGCUUCCACUAACCUGAUAUUUUUUAUUGCCGUGAUCUCUUCUCCCUCUGUUUCGUUUGAUGCUACCAGAAGAAAAUUAAACUCAACAUGAUCCGCUUCAUAAAUCCGAGCUAACACACCGUCGCUGCGCACUUGACUAUUCUCCACAACUCGGGUCUCUCUCCCUCACACCGGUCAAAAUCAAUUCCACUCACGAUUUACAGCACCCUAAGACCAAUGUCAAAGGUGCAACAGGUUAGAAUGGUAGCCCAACUUUAACUCACUAUUCAUUCUCAAAGCUCCAGCCAUUAGAUUUCACUCAUUAUAAUCUAACGGUUCCAGAAAACCGACAAAUACAGGGAGCACGGUGCCCAAGGGGGCACAAUUAGGGAUGGCAAUGGGGCGGGGUAGGGGUGGGGAUGCCUACCCCAUUCCCCACCCCAUUAAAAAUUUUUGCCUCCAUUCCCCACCCCAUUCCCCAAUAAAUUUAGUGGGUUGGGGAUGGGGAAUCCCCACGUGGGGAAUGAUUCCCCCAUCCCCACCCCAUUCCCCAUUUACAUAUUUUAUAGUAGAUAUAAAAAUAUGAUUUCAGUAAAUUAAAAAUUAGAGACUUAAGAUAAAAUCAUCACAAUAUUAUAAAGUAUUUAAUUUUAAAAAAAAUCUCUAAAAAUUUGAAACAAUAUCUUAAAAUGAUAUUAAAAGUGAAAAAUAUUUAAAGAAAGCAGCACCUUAAAAGAGAAAAGAAAAUAUAUUAAUGUUUUAAAAUUGAAAAAUAUUGUAGAAUUUUCUUUUAUUCAUAUUCUAUUUAUAUUACAUAAAAAUUACAAAUAAAAUUAUUAAUUGACAUUAUAGUUGAUAAAAUACAAAUUAUUAAAUAAGAAUUAAAAACAUAUUUAUAUAUAAUGGGGAUUGGGGUGGGGGUGGGGUGGGGAGUGCAAUACCAAACCCCACCCCGUUAACAAUUUGGGGAUUACUUUUCCCCCACUCCCCACCCCAUUCCCCAAAAAUUAUUAAAAAAUUUCCCCAUUUGGGGUGGGGCUCCAUGGGGCCCCAAACCCGUGGAGAAUUUUGCCAUCCCUAGGCACAAUAGCUGGACCCACGAAACAGGCGGAUAAUUAGGGAAGUGUUGGUCAUGAUUGUCAUCUUUAAUUUGCAGACAAAGAGCAUUAAUUUUUUUUUUUUGGGUUUUAUACUUUUAUCUCACCACUUGAGAGUGGUACAUUUAACAAAAACCCAAAUUCACUAGCAUCUAUGUAAUGUUAUUAUUAUUCUCGCUAAAAAUAUGCUUAAACAAAAAGGAAAUAUCGACAAUUCUAAAUAGAUAAAAAAUUAUUUACACAGGCGUUAAAAAAACCUUUAUGGAUUAAUUUUUUAAUAAUAAAUAAUAAUCUUCAUUAUUAUUUAGUCUAAUGACAGCUGAUGGAUUCUUUUUUCUAUUUAUAUAAUCAGCUUAAUUAGUUCGAGCCUAAAAUUUUUUAUUUCAAGAAAUUUUAUCACCUCAGAUGAAACCUACAUUGAACAAUUGUUUAUAUUACAACAGUAAAUUAUAACCACCGAAACAUCAACUGCCAUUGGAUUGGGACCCAUUUAACCACCGGCCACAAAACAGUUUGGACGAAACUGAAUCCUGAAAAACUUAUGCACCUCCCUUUUCACUUGUUUUUUUAAAAAAAAUUAAAGAAAAAUUACGUGUCAAAAAGAAAAAAAAAUUACACUGACGAAUCCCUUACUGUCAUGCCAAAUUAUCACACUUAAAAUAAAGAAUUUAAGCAAAAGUCUUAAACCAUUAUAAAUGUGAACGUAUGGCUGAUUUAUGAUAUGAUGGGUCCAUCUAUUAAAUAUGUUGUUUUCUUUAGUGUGGAUGUUUUUAUUUUAUUUUAUAAAAGUAUGAAUUUAAUAUUUUAUAAUAUUAUAAAAUAUUUUAUAAAGUGCAAAGUUCAACACUUGAGAAAAAUUUCUUAAGGUUAAAGUUUAUCAUUACAAAGAGUGAAAAAAAAAAAAGAAGAGGAGGAAAAUAUCCAAUUGUAACUACAACCGUCGUGUUUUUACAUUGUAUUUCUUACAAUUUUCCAUUAAAUAUUUCUCAAAUUCUUUAGAGAAUUAAAAUAAAUUUGUUAUAAAAUUAAAUUCUCUCAUGAUCUAAAUUUGUCUGGAGUAAAAUUUAGUUGGAGAUUAGUGGUUAAUUAAAAAAAUAGUUAAAUCAAAAUCAUACAUAGCAUUAAAAAAAAUAUAAAAUACAAGAUAUUUAAAAAUUCGAGAGAGUUCAUGUUAAGAAAGGGUUUUAAUUCAAUAAUGCAUAUGAUAUGCAAUGCAAAGUUUGGUGGGUCUAUUAAAACUAUAAUUAAUUUUAUCCAUUAAACUGCUAUUUCCUCUUUUAUGGAUAAUUCUUUUGAGCCACUGUUGAAGUAUUUGCAAUUUGUAACUAAAUUGUCUGAGCAUGAAGUCUCGUUGGUAAAACCAAUCAUGUCGACAUGUAACGAAAAUAAAUCAAAAUCCGGAAACAAUAUUUAUGUAACAAUGAACCAACAAUAGACCAAUCACAUUAUUAUUAUUAUUAUUAUUAUUAUUUGAGUACAUAAAUUGAUUUUCUUAGAGUAAAAAAGAAAAGAUUUUUUUCUCCGUGAAUUUGACUUUUUCUUGUGGUACCGAACCAACCAUAGAGUUAUUACCUCUAAAAUUUUCUGAAGGUUAAGAAUUUUUUUUUAAACAAUUAAAAUCAUCCCCAGAAAGAGACUCGAGUACACGUGUCAAAAAAUUGAAGUUUCUAACGGAGUUAAGAAAUAAGAAUAUGUUAAAAUAAGCAAAUUAAUGCAUACAUGUCAAAAAAUCUUCCAAAUAUUAAUUAAGUAAAUUCAGAUUAGUACAAUUUUAUUGAUUAUUUGAUUGUCACCCAGAAAAUCUAAAAAGAAAUUGUUAGCGACCCUUAACAUUUGAGUCACGAAAAGCUUAUAAAUAGACCCACAUCUCCCAUGCUACGAUCAUCAGCAACACCAAAAACACUUUCUUGAAGUAGUGUCUAUAAAUUUCUCUUCGGCUAUCACUUUUUACUCUAUUAAUUAAUAAUGUCUGAGGAAAAGCACCACCACCACGGCCUCUUCCACCACCACAAGGAGCAUGAGAAGCCUGAGGGUGCCACCGGUUACUCCGACUCGACCACCGGAUACUCUGAUCAGUCAGCCACUGCUUACUCUGAGACUACAGGUUAUCCGGGAGACCGGCGUCGGCCAUCGGAGACGGAGAGCGGUGACUAUGGCAGGAAAGAGGAGGAGGUUGAUUACAAGAAGGAGGAGAAGCACCACAAGCAUCUCGAGCACCUCGGAGAGCUUGGAACUGCUGGAGCUGGUGCUUUUGCUCUGGUAAAGUGAUUCUUCAUCAAGUGCUUUUUUUAUUUUGUGAUAGUGUAUAGUUUCAUUUCUCAUGCAUACAUACAAAAAAAAAGAUUUUUUUUUUUUGACAGCAUAUAUAUGUAUAUAUACAAAGUACCAAGCAUGUAACUAGGCUUUUUGCAUGGAUUGGAGGAAAAAAAAGAAAGAAUCCCAUUAUUUUCUUUAAUUUUAUCUCUAUGUUGACACUCAAUUAUUUAUUUAUUUAUUUAUUUUUGGGGUGUGGGGGGGGGGGGGGGGGGGUGUGAUACGAUACUGUAAAUGGAUCAGCUUGAGAAGCACAAGGCAGAAAAGGACCCAGAGCAUGCACACAGGCACAAGAUAGAGGAGGAGAUAGCGGCGGCCGCAGCCGUUGGAUUGGGAGGAUUUGCGUUCCACGAGCACCAU
RNAcentral lists this long non-coding RNA (36609 nucleotides) under Citrus maxima (pomelo). RNAcentral's name for it is "long non-coding RNA (CMAX_LNC001593)". Lineage: Eukaryota; Viridiplantae; Streptophyta; Magnoliopsida; Sapindales; Rutaceae. The record is from RNAcentral.